Molecule: long non-coding RNA, 959 nt
Organism: Pezoporus flaviventris
Lineage: Eukaryota; Metazoa; Chordata; Aves; Psittaciformes; Psittacidae
Exons: 3
Source: RefSeq, a predicted model, not a curated record
UAAUCUCUUAUAUCUGCAUCUGUAGCUCGUAUGUGCAAUGGGCAAACAUACUUGUGGAUUCAAAGAACUGUUUUCUCUUAUACACCCUUUACUUCUCGGUACAUGGAGCUCUCUUACACAUUCGUGUUUUGUUCCAAGAAAACAGUCUGGUUCUGGAAAACACCCCAGAAAGGCAUCCUAGAAGUUCUCCAGCUUGUGAGAAAGUCAUCCUCCAGCAGUUUGGCUACUGCGUUUUCUGAUCUCCUUAUACCGUUGUGGCAAUAAUGAUGCUCCUGUCCCUGCAUCCACCAUGAUUAAAAUACAGAAUGCCUGCCAAAGGGGCAUUUUUGUCUAACAGGGUUGCUGCUAUGGGGGUCACAUCUUACAAGCGAUGGCCAGAGGUGUUGAUUGAAGAGACACAGCACGAGGUCCAUGCCAGGAGGUUAUCAUCUGCUGCUGACACUGCCCCUGCAAGGCUUGUGCUCAAACCUUCCCCAUCACCCACCAGACCUCUGCACUUCCCAGAAUUACUGAUGACUUCCCAUAUUUGCAAUUGAUUUGCCAACAAUUUGCUCUUGCUCCAAACAAGCACAAACGAAAGGAGGAACCAAAGUUCAGCCUGGAUAGGCCAUAAACCUGCUUCCACCAAAGGCAAACCUGUCCCACAGGAAUACCAUUGUCCAGAGGAGGAUGACUGAUGAAAACUGAAAUCUCCCUGGAGAACCCCUCCAAGUUUCUUUUUUAUGCCCUUAUCUUGGAAUUAAAGGUGCUGUCUCACCCUGCGCUUGGUCUCCCAUAGAUGAGCCUUUCUUCCAGACCCACGUUAAGCUGCUCUUGGAGAAUCCAUCCCAGUGUUUCCUAUAUGCCCCUCCUUUCUCAGGCUGUAACACAGAAAAGGUGUGUGUGUGUGUGGAGGUUUCCCAUCAAAAUAUCCUCUGUCAAAUGCACUUCACAUGUAACGCUGCUGACACAAAUCAGGG